UGGGGAAUUUUGCACAAUGGGGGGAACCUUGAUGCAGCGACGCCGCGUGAGGGAUGGAGGCCUUCGGGUUGUGAACCUCUUUCGCUCGUGUGCAAGCCGCUAUUUGGGUAGUGGUGAGUGUAGCGAGUAAAGAAGCGCCGGCUAACUACGUGCCAGCAGCCGCGGUAAUACGUAGGGCGCGAGCGUUGUCCGGAUUUAUUGGGCGUAAAGGGCUUGUAGGCGGUUUGUCGCGCCUGUCGUGUAAUCCUCUGGCUUAACUGGGGGUGUGCGGUGGGUACGGGCAGGCUUGAGUGCGGUAGGGGAGAUUGGAAUUCCUGGUGUAGCGGUGGAAUGCGCAGAUAUCAGGAGGAACACCGGUGGCGAAGGCGGGUCUCUGGGCCGUUACUGACGCUGAGGAGCGAAAGCGUGGGGAGCGAACAGG
This 421-nucleotide ribosomal RNA is filed under the name Fusobacteriota bacterium. Its description in RNAcentral is "Fusobacteria bacterium partial 16S ribosomal RNA". It matches the Rfam family "Bacterial small subunit ribosomal RNA", at positions 355 to 776 of the family's 1533-position model. Lineage: Bacteria; Fusobacteriati; Fusobacteriota. The record is from RNAcentral.